ACUCAAGGCAUUGAUAAUACGCGGAAGUCAAGCCCAGCCACGGGUAUAAUGAUGGUUUAUAACCCUACCACGGGAGUGAAACAUGGAAUACGGCCCAGUCAUGAGUAUAAUAGUGGUUUAUAAUCCUACCACGUGGGUGAAACAUAGUAUAUAGCCUAGCCACGGGUAUAAUGGUGGUUUAUAACCCUACCACGGGGAUUAAACAUGGUAUUAGUUCAGAUAUGAUGCUCUAAGAUGAUAUAAAUAUAAUGUUUCAGUUUGGAUAUGCCAAUGGAUUUUCUUUUUGGGGAAUAAGUUUGUCUUUCUAGAAAUUUCACUAUGAUGUUUUGCACCAAGUUUUGGUUUUUGCAUUUCGAAAGUAAAAUAGGUGUUUCUACAUUCU
Molecule: long non-coding RNA, 382 nt
Organism: Juglans microcarpa x Juglans regia
Lineage: Eukaryota; Viridiplantae; Streptophyta; Magnoliopsida; Fagales; Juglandaceae
Exons: 2
Source: RefSeq, a predicted model, not a curated record